This 497-nucleotide ribosomal RNA is filed under the name uncultured bacterium. Its description in RNAcentral is "partial 16S ribosomal RNA". It matches the Rfam family "Bacterial small subunit ribosomal RNA", at positions 28 to 507 of the family's 1533-position model. The record is from RNAcentral.
GACGAACGCUGGCGGCGUGCCUAAUACAUGCAAGUAGAACGCUGAAGAGAGGAGCUUGCUCUUCUUGGAUGAGUUGCGAACGGGUGAGUAACGCGUAGGUAACCUGCCUGGUAGCGGGGGAUAACUAUUGGAAACGAUAGCUAAUACCGCAUAAAAUGGAUUAUCGCAUGAUAAUCCAUUGAAAGGUGCAAAUGCAUCACUACCAGAUGGACCUGCGUUGUAUUAGCUAGUUGGUGGGGUAACGGCUCACCAAGGCGACGAUACAUAGCCGACCUGAGAGGGUGGUCGGCCACACUGGGACUGAGACCAGGCCCAGACUCCUAAGGGAGGAAGCAGUAGGGAAUCUUCGGCAAUGGACGGAAGUCUGACCGAGCAAAGCCGCGUGAGUGAAGAAGGUUUUCGGAUCGUAAAGCUCUGUUGUAAGAGAAGAAAGAGUGUGAGAGUGGAAAGUUCACACUGUGACGGUAUCUUACCAGAAAGGGACGGCUAACUACGUG